UCUUUUAAGACUAUGACAAAAAUACCCCUCCCAUAUUUUCCUCUCACACUCUUUCAUUCUCGGAUUCCUUCCUCUCUCUUAGAUUCUCGUACCCACCCACCACGGUUGAAGGCGUUCACCAUCCACGACUCCGACAGACCCAACAACGUUAUUGCCACCCUUCAACGACCGUGAAAGACCACCAUCGAUUGACUUUUCCACCUUCGCCAAUGACCCACGUCGAUUGGUCACCUUCUUUGUCAUUUGUAAGCAAUUUUGUGGAGGAAUAGCUUUUAUAAAUUUUGAUAGCAUAGAUGUAUUAAAGAGAAGGCUACAAAGUGUUCUCAAUAACACAGAAUAAAUGUGAGAUGGAUACAAGAGCCAAUAAGAUGAUGCUUACUUGGAGGGAAUCAUCAAGUUUGCUAGGAUGGUUCGUGCAAUGGGCUACAACAUUAUGCUACCCUGGGAAAGGACAAGUUGGGAGCAACUGCAGUAAAUCUUGUUGCAUGAGACAAACCUGCUGAUGUCUACUUAGGAAUAGCUGCCAAGUAUCUGCUACUUUCUCUGAUUGUAAUAACUAUUUACAAGUUAGAGCUAAUGAUCUCCAACUUAUAGUUGUCCCUAUGAUAAAGGCAAGUGAUCCUCCAAGAACAAUCAUGAGCUGAAGAACAAACAAGCAACCAUAUAUAAGAAUUUAACUUAGAUCA
This is a long non-coding RNA of Humulus lupulus (European hop), 686 nucleotides long. RefSeq lists it as uncharacterized. NCBI's taxonomy places the organism in Eukaryota, Viridiplantae, Streptophyta, Magnoliopsida, Rosales, Cannabaceae. The record is from RefSeq and is a predicted model, not a curated record. The transcript is spliced from 4 exons.